AGCACAGCUUCGUUAAUUUAAGAAGACAGUGACAACCAGGCAAGCUAGUCCAAGCGCCUGAACCAAACUUUUACGAUAAAAGUCUCUAAAAUAGCAAAGGACAAUCCUGUAUCGUGUGGCAGAAGAAGCUGCAGACGAUGGGGCAUCUGUUUCCCUUGUGAGGCCGUUGACCUGCUGGAAGCUGGAGGACCAGGGGCAGCGUGAAGCCGAUCUCAGCGUCGAGGCCUUCCACAGCGGGCACAGGAUCGGGGACUGCAGGAGAGAGGGCCCAAGGACACGGUCACUGGAGCGCAGUGCCACACUGCUUCUGGUUACAGUGGCAGUUAACAGAUGAGAGAAAACAUCAUGUGUGACCUCUCCAGAGUUAGGCAGUGGGGUGCAUGAGGAUACAGUGAGUACUAAAGCCGAAAAUAUUUCAACUUUCUGUGCCUACUGCUAGCACAUCCAAUCAUGUGACAGUGAGAGGUGUCAAAUUUCUCUAAAGAUAGUAAGAAAAGUGCUUUUUGAGAAAUAUCUACAAGGUGUAUAGCUGUAUGUUGUCACUGCCUUAUCAAAUGUUUACUCUGUACAAAAGCAUGCAGUGCUUGAGGCUAACAUAUCCGUUUGCGCUUGUUUUUUACCUGAUGA
Long non-coding RNA from Anguilla rostrata (American eel), 627 nucleotides. RefSeq lists it as uncharacterized. The record is from RefSeq and is a predicted model, not a curated record. Lineage: Eukaryota; Metazoa; Chordata; Actinopteri; Anguilliformes; Anguillidae. The transcript has 4 exons.